CCUACGGGUGGCAGCAGUGGGGAAUAUUGCGCAAUGGGCGAAAGCCUGACGCAGCGACGCCGCGUGAGGGAUGAAGGUCUUCGGAUCGUAAACCUCUGUCAGCAGGGAAGAACGGUCACUGUGCUAAUCAGCAGUGAAUUGACGGUACCUGCAAAGGAAGCACCGGCUAACUCCGUGCCAGCAGCCGCGGUAAUACGGAGGGUGCGAGCGUUAAUCGGAAUUACUGGGCGUAAAGCGCUCGUAGGCGGUAUGGCAAGUCAAGGGUGAAAGCCCCGCGCUCAACGUGGGAACUGCCUUUGAAACUGGCAAACUGGAGUGUGUGAGAGGAGAGUGGAAUUCCAGGGGUAGGAGUGAAAUCCGUAGAUAUCUGGAGGAACAUCAGUGGCGAAGGCGACUAUCUGGCACAUAACUGACGCUGAGGAGCGAAAGCGUGGGUAGCAAACAGGAUUAGAUACCCGGGUAGUC
RNAcentral lists this ribosomal RNA (465 nucleotides) under uncultured bacterium. RNAcentral's name for it is "partial 16S ribosomal RNA". It matches the Rfam family "Bacterial small subunit ribosomal RNA", at positions 338 to 795 of the family's 1533-position model. The record is from RNAcentral.